CCUACGGGUGGCAGCAGUGAGGAAUAUUGGUCAAUGGUCGGAAGCCUGAACCAGCCAAGCAGCGUGCAGGAUGACGGUCCUGCGUGUUGUAAACUUCUUUUAUACGGGAAUAACGCGCCUUACGUGUAGGGCUUUGCAUGUACCGUAUGAAUAAGGACCGGCUAAUUCCGUGCCAGCAGCCGCGGUAAUACGGAAGGUGCGGGCGUUAUCCGGAUUUAUUGGGUUUAAAGGGAGCGUAGGCCGCAUGUCAAGCGUGCUGUGAAAUGUCCGGGCUCAACCCGGGCCUUGCAGCGGUAACUGGCGUGCUUGAGUCCGCGGAAAGCAUGCGGAAUUCGUGGUGUAGCGGUGAAAUGCUUAGAUAUGACGAAGAACCCCGAUUGCGAAGGCAGCUUGCUGGAGCGGAACUGACGCUGAUGCACGAAAGCGCGGGUAUCGAACAGGAUUAGAUACCCCAGUAGUC
This 460-nucleotide ribosomal RNA is filed under the name uncultured bacterium. RNAcentral describes it as "partial 16S ribosomal RNA". It matches the Rfam family "Bacterial small subunit ribosomal RNA", at positions 338 to 795 of the family's 1533-position model. The record is from RNAcentral.